Molecule: ribosomal RNA, 561 nt
Filed under: uncultured bacterium
Lineage: Bacteria
Description: bacterial SSU rRNA
Rfam family: Bacterial small subunit ribosomal RNA
Source: RNAcentral
UGCAAGUCGAGCGAGAACCCGCAAGGGGGACAGCGGCGAACGGGGUAGGACAACGUAGGUAACGUACCCUCGGGGCGAGGACAGCCACGGGAAACUGUGGGUAAUACUCGAUAAUGUUCCCUGCCUUGAUUGGCGGGGAACCAAUGGGUGAGAUUCCACCUGAGGAGCGGCUUACGCAGUAUCAGCUAGUUGGUGAGGUAACGGCUCACCAAGGCUACGACACUUAGGGGGUGUGAGAGCAUGGCCCCCACCACUGGCACUGAGACACUGGCCAGACACCUACGGGUGGCUGCAGUCGAGAAUCUUCGGCAAUGGGCGCAAGCCUGACCGAGCGACGCCGCGUGCGGGAUGAAGGCCCUCGGGUUGUAAACCGCUGUCAGAGGGGAUGAAGUGCACGAGAGCUAUCUCUUGUAUUGACAGAGCCUCAGAGGAAGCACGGGCUAAGUNCGUGCCAGCAGCCGCGGUAUACGAACUGUGCGAACGUAUACGGAAUCACUGGGCUUAAAGGGUGCGUAGGCUGUUACCUAAGUCAGGUGUGAAAUCUCUCGGCUCAACCGGGAA